Eriocheir sinensis (Chinese mitten crab) is the source of this 988-nucleotide long non-coding RNA. RefSeq lists it as uncharacterized. The record is from RefSeq and is a predicted model, not a curated record. Lineage: Eukaryota; Metazoa; Arthropoda; Malacostraca; Decapoda; Varunidae. The transcript has 4 exons.
AAGAGCUGUUGGCAAUGCUUUCUGAGGGCCAUUAUGGGUAUGGUUCAGGGAGGAAGAGGUGUUGGCAAUGCUUUCUGAGGGCUAUUAUGGGAAUGGUUCAGGGAGGAAGAGCUGUUGGCAAUGCUAUCUGAGGGCUAUUAUGGGUAUGGUUCAGGGAGGAAGAGGUGUUGGCAAUGCUAUCUGAGGGCUAUUAUGGGUAUGGUUCAGGGAGGAAGAGCUGUUGGCAAUGCUUUCUGAGGGCUAUUAUGGGUGUGGUUCAGGGAGGAAGAGGUGUUGGCAAUGCUUUCUGAGGGCUAUUAUGGGUGUGGUUCAGGGAGGAAGAGGUGUUGGCAAUGCUUUCUGAGGGCUAUUAUGGGUAUGGUUCAGGGAGGAAGAGGUGUUGGCAAUGCUAUCUGAGGGCCAUUAUGGGUGUGGUUCAGGGAGGAAGAGGUGUUGGCAAUGCUUUCUGAGGGCCAUUAUGGGUAUGGUUCAGGGAGGAAGAGGUGUUGGCAAUGCUUUCUGAGGGCCAUUAUGGGUAUGGUUCAGGGAGGAAGAGGUGUUGGCAAUGCUUUCUGAGGGCCAUUAUGGGUAUGGUUCAGGGAGGAAGAGGUGUUGGCAAUGCUUUCUGAGGGCUAUUAUGGGAAUGGUUCAGGGAGGAAGAGGUGUUGGCAAUGCUAUCUGAGGGCUAUUGUGGGUAUGGUUCAGGGAGGAAGAGGUGUUGGCAAUGCUAUCUGAGGGCUAUUGUGGGUAUGGUUCAGGGAGGAAGAGGUGUUGGCAAUCUUUCUGAGGGCUAUUAUGGGUGUAGUUAAGAAAGGAAAAGCUGUUGGCAAUGCUUUCAGAGGUGGUCCAAACCAUCAUUCCUUUAAAAACAAACUCCACUGCCACUUCCUACACCUUAAUAUUCUCUAAGGUUGAAAUGCAUAGUCUUGGUGGCCUUGCUGGUGGAUGUAAAGUCACUUAAGUUUAAGGAUAGAUCACCAAUAGUCUUCCAAAUAUGUCGAGUCUGGCC